GCCAUCAAUAGCCCUACUAAUAUUCCCCUAAACUAUUAACCCACUAUACCUAAACCAUUAUUACUAUCUAAGUAUAGGUGAUAGAACAGAUAAUCUUUAGGCGCAAUAACGACAGUACCGCAAGGGAAAUAUGAAAGACCAGAUAAUAGCAUAAAAAAGCAAAGAUUUACCCUUAUACCUUUUGCAUAAUGAUUUAGCCAGUCUAACACGAACAAAAAGACUUUAUACGCUCGUAAUCCCGAAAUUAAGUGAGCUACUAUAAAACAGUUAAAUAAUUGAACCAACUCGUCUAUGUAGCAAAAUAGUGAGAAGAUUUUAUAGUAGAAGUGAAAAACCUAUCGAACUUAAUGAUAGCUGGUUAUCCAAAAAAAGAAUUUUAGUUCAACUUUAAGUUUAACAUUAAGUACUCCUAUCAUCAAACAUAAUUUAGACUUAAAAGAUAAUCAAAAGAGGUACAACUCUUUUGAUCUAGUAAACAAACUCAAUUAGAGGGUAAUGAACAACUAAAACUAUACUUGUAGGCUUAAAAGCAGCCAUCAACUAAGAAAGCGUUAAAGCUCAAAUCAACAUUCAAAUUAAUUCCACAAAAUAACCAAAACCCCUAAUUAACCAUUGGAUGAUUCUAUAAUUUUAUAGAAGACAUAAUGCUAAAAUCAGUAACAAGAAUUCUAUUCUCCACGCAUAAGCUUAUAUUAGUAACGGACUUACCACUAACCAUUAACAAAACAGUAAUAAUAAUCACAAACCAGUGUAUUACCACUCACAUUGUUAACCCAACACAGGCAUGCGAAUACUAACGGAAAGAUUAAAAAGAACAAAAGGAACUCGGCAAACUAAAACCCCGCCUGUUUACCAAAAACAUCACCUCUAGCAUUACAAGUAUUAGAGGCACCGCCUGCCCAGUGAAUUUAUUUUAAACGGCCGCGGUAUCCUGACCGUGCAAAGGUAGCAUAAUCACUUGUCUUCUAAAUAAAGACUUGUAUGAAUGGCAUAACGAGGGUUUAACUGUCUCUUUUUCUUAAUCAGUGAAAUUGACCUUCCCGUGCAGAGGCGGGAAUACCCAUAUAAGACGAGAAGACCCUGUGGAGCUUAAGAUCCAUAAAUUAACAUUACUACAUAUGUUACAUUAGCCCAAGGGCUUAAACUUAAAAUAUUCCUUAAUUAUGAUCUUUGGUUGGGGUGACCUCGGAGAACAAAAUAACCUCCGAAUGAUAUUAACCCAGAUCUACAAAUCUAAGUGCUAAUAGCCAGUAAUUGACCCAUAUAUUGAUCAACGGAACAAGUUACCCCAGGGAUAACAGCGCAAUCCUAUUUAAGAGCCCAUAUCAACAAUAGGGUUUACGACCUCGAUGUUGGAUCAGGACAUCCUAAUGGUGCAACCGCUAUUAAAGGUUCGUUUGUUCAACGAUUAAAGUCCUACGUGAUCUGAGUUCAGACCGGAGAAAUCCAGGUCGGUUUCUAUCUAUAUAAUAAUUUCUCCCAGUACGAAAGGACAAGAGAAAUAAGGCCAACAUAAUAUACGCGCCUUCUAUUCAAUUAAUGAAAUAUAUCUAAAUUAAUUAAUAUACCCUAUUUAUAUACUCUAGAAAAGAGUCC
This 1596-nucleotide ribosomal RNA is filed under the name Caluromys lanatus (western woolly opossum). RNAcentral's name for it is "16S ribosomal RNA". It matches the Rfam family "Bacterial large subunit ribosomal RNA". Lineage: Eukaryota; Metazoa; Chordata; Mammalia; Didelphimorphia; Didelphidae. The record is from RNAcentral.